AGCAGCCGCGGUAAUUCCAGCUCCAAUAGCGUAUAUUAAAGUUGUUGCAGUUAAAAGCUCGUAGUUGAAUUUCGGGGUUAGUAGGUUGGUCAUGCCUCUGGUAUGUACUGGUCUCACUGAUUCCUCCUUCCUGACGAGCCGUAAUGCCAUUAAUUUGGUGUUGCGGGGAAUUUGGACUGUUACUUUGAAAAAUUAGAGUGUUUAAAGCAAGCUAACGCUUGAAUACAUUAGCAUGGAAUAAUGAAAUAGGACGUUCGAUCCUAUUUUGUUGGUUUCUAGGAUUGACGUAAUGAUUAAUAGGGAUAGUUGGGGGCAUUAGUAUUCAAUUGUCAGAGGUGAAAUUCUUGGAUUUAUUGAAGACUAACUACUGCGAAAGCAUUUGCCAAGGAUGUUUUCAUUAAUCAAGAACGAAAGUUAGGGAUCGAAGACGAUCAGAUACCGUCGUAGUCUUAACCAUAAACUAUGCCGACUAGGGAUCGGAUGAUGUUAAUUUUUAAUGUACUCAUUCGGCGCCUUACGG
Molecule: unclassified non-coding RNA, 520 nt
Filed under: uncultured Glomus
Lineage: Eukaryota; Fungi; Glomeromycota; Glomeromycetes; Glomerales; Glomeraceae
Description: SSU rRNA
Rfam family: Eukaryotic small subunit ribosomal RNA
Source: RNAcentral